Lemur catta (Ring-tailed lemur) is the source of this 275-nucleotide long non-coding RNA. RefSeq lists it as uncharacterized. The record is from RefSeq and is a predicted model, not a curated record. The transcript is spliced from 3 exons. NCBI's taxonomy places the organism in Eukaryota, Metazoa, Chordata, Mammalia, Primates, Lemuridae.
CUGAAAAUCACUUCAGUAAUAUUGCAUGUGAGAAUCUUUGUAACCAAAAAGAAAUGCAAUAAACCUCUCGGUUUGAAGGCGUCUUCAAUAUUUUACAAAUCACACAAUCAUCUCCAGCUUUGCGCACAAAGAAAAAUCCACAUGACAAACCUUAUGGAACAUUAGCGAUAUCAAGGACUUUCCAAGUUAGUGGCAGAUAUGUGUGGGAAAGUCGCCCUGGAAAUCAGACAGAGGAGGAGGAUGCACACCAAAAGAGAGAUUGGCGUCCUUCCGCA